RNAcentral lists this ribosomal RNA (516 nucleotides) under uncultured bacterium. RNAcentral describes it as "bacterial SSU rRNA". It matches the Rfam family "Bacterial small subunit ribosomal RNA", at positions 1001 to 1514 of the family's 1533-position model. The record is from RNAcentral.
UAGAGAUAGAGUCUUCCCCUUCGGGGGACAAAGUGACAGGUGGUGCAUGGUUGUCGUCAGCUCGUGUCGUGAGAUGUUGGGUUAAGUCCCGCAACGAGCGCAACCCUUAAGCUUAGUUGCCAGCAUUAAGUUGGGCACUCUAAGUUGACUGCCGGUGACAAACCGGAGGAAGGUGGGGAUGACGUCAAAUCAUCAUGCCCCUUAUGAUUUGGGCUACACACGUGCUACAAUGGACAAUACAAAGGGCAGCUAAACCGCGAGGUCAUGCAAAUCCCAUAAAGUUGUUCUCAGUUCGGAUUGUAGUCUGCAACUCGACUACAUGAAGCUGGAAUCGCUAGUAAUCGUAGAUCAGCAUGCUACGGUGAAUACGUUCCCGGGUCUUGUACACACCGCCCGUCACACCACGAGAGUCUGUAACACCCGAAGCCGGUGGAGUAACCAUUUAUGGAGCUAGCCGUCGAAGGUGGGACAAAUGAUUGGGGUGAAGUCGUAACAAGGUAGCCGUAUCGGAAGGUG